GAUGAAGAACGUAGCGAAAUGCGAUACGUAAUGUGAAUUGCAGAAUUCAGUGAAUCAUCGAAUCUUUGAACGCAUAUUGCGCUCUCUGGUAUUCCGGAGAGCAUGCUUGUUUGAGUAUCAGUAAACACCUCAACUUCCAUAUCUUUUUUGAAAUGGGAGUUGGACUUGAGUGAUCCCAACGCUUUUCCUCACCGAAAAGUGGCGGGUUACUUGAAAUGCAGGUGCAGCUGGACUUUUCUCUGAGCUAUAAGCAUAUCUAUUUAGUCUGCCUAAAAACAGAUUAUUACCUUUGCUGCAGCUAACAUAAAGGAGAUUAGUUCUUGUGCUGACUGAUGCAGGAUUCACAAAGACAGGCUUCGGCCGACUUUGUAAACUCGAUCUCAAAUCAAGUAAGACUACCCGCUGAACUUAAGCAUAUCAAUAACGGAGGA
This 431-nucleotide unclassified non-coding RNA is filed under the name soil metagenome. RNAcentral's name for it is "partial contains 5.8S ribosomal RNA, internal transcribed spacer 2, and large subunit ribosomal RNA". The stretch from base 1 to 120 matches the Rfam family "5.8S ribosomal RNA", at positions 35 to 154 of the family's 154-position model. The record is from RNAcentral.